UACGGGGGGAGCAAGCGUUGUUCGGAUUUACUGGGCGUAAAGGGCGCGUAGGCGGUAGCACAAGUCAGUUGUGAAAUCUCCGGGCUUAACUCGGAAAGGUCAACUGAUACUGUGCGACUAGAGUGCAGAAGGGGCAACUGGAAUUCUCGGUGUAGCGGUGAAAUUCGUAGAUAUUCGGAAGAACACCAGUGGCGAAGGCGACUCACUGGACAUGUAUUGACGCUGAGGUGCGAAAGCGUGGGGAGCAAACAGG
RNAcentral lists this ribosomal RNA (253 nucleotides) under uncultured bacterium. RNAcentral's name for it is "partial 16S ribosomal RNA". It matches the Rfam family "Bacterial small subunit ribosomal RNA", at positions 524 to 776 of the family's 1533-position model. The record is from RNAcentral.